Molecule: ribosomal RNA, 478 nt
Filed under: uncultured Planctomycetales bacterium
Lineage: Bacteria; Pseudomonadati; Planctomycetota; Planctomycetia; Planctomycetales
Description: bacterial SSU rRNA
Rfam family: Bacterial small subunit ribosomal RNA
Source: RNAcentral
UUCGCAAUGCCCGAAAGGGUGACGAAGCGACGCCGCGUGUGGGAAGAAGGCCUUCGGGUUGUAAACCACUGUCGGGAGUUAAGAAAUGUAAGGGUGUUAAUAGCAUUCUUACUUGACGUUAGCUCCGGAGGAAGCCACGGCUAACUCUGUGCCAGCAGCCGCGGUAAUACAGAGGCGGCAAGCGUUGUUCGGAAUUAUUGGGCGUAAAGAGCACGUAGGCGGCUAUGUAAGUCGGUUGUGAAAGCCUUCCGCUCAACGGAAGAACAGCAUCCGAUACUACAUGGCUUGAGUGCGGGAGGGGAGAGUGGAACUUCUGGUGGAGCGGUGAAAUGCGUAGAUAUCAGAAGGAACGCCGGCGGCGAAAGCGGCUCUCUGGCCCAUAACUGACGCUGAGUGUGCGAAAGCUAGGGGAGCAAACGGGAUUAGAUACCCCGGUAGUCCUAGCCGUAAACGAUGGGCACUAAGUAGAGGGGUUUUA